UAGGAGCAGGCGGCGGCGCCGCGCGCUACUCCGGCGCCGAGGCUGUCCUCACCGAGUCAGGUACCUGAAGUAGCGCGCGCCGCCUCCCCCGAAGCCUACGGAA
Molecule: microRNA precursor, 103 nt
Filed under: Manduca sexta (tobacco hornworm)
Lineage: Eukaryota; Metazoa; Arthropoda; Insecta; Lepidoptera; Sphingidae
Description: microRNA mse-mir-275 precursor
Gene: mse-mir-275
Rfam family: mir-275 microRNA precursor family (bases 7-92)
Source: miRBase by way of RNAcentral